AGAGUUUGAUCCUGGCUCAGGACGAACGCUGGCGGCGUGCCUAAUACAUGCAAGUCGAACGAAGCUUUCUUUCACCGAAUGCUCACAUUCACCGAAAGAAGCUUAGUGGCGAACGGGUGAGUAACACGUAGGCAACCUGCCCAAAAGAGGGGGAUAACACUUGGAAACAGGUGCUAAUACCGCAUAACCAUGAACACCGCAUGAUGUUCAUGUAAAAGACGGCUUUUGCUGUCACUUUUGGAUGGGCCUGCGGCGUAUUAACUUGUUGGUGGGGUAACGGCCUACCAAGGUGAUGAUACGUAGCCGAACUGAGAGGUUGAUCGGCCACAUUGGGACUGAGACACGGCCCAAACUCCUACGGGAGGCAGCAGUAGGGAAUCUUCCACAAUGGACGAAAGUCUGAUGGAGCAACGCCGCGUGAAUGAAGAAGGCCUUCGGGUCGUAAAAUUCUGUUGUCAGAGAAGAACGUGCGUGAGAGUAACUGUUCACGUAUUGACGGUAUCUGACCAGAAAGCCACGGCUAACUACGUGCCAGCAGCCGCGGUAAUACGUAGGUGGCGAGCGUUGUCCGGAUUUAUUGGGCGUAAAGGGAACGCAGGCGGUCUUUUAAGUCUGAUGUGAAAGCCUUCGGCUUAACCGAAGUAGUGCAUUGGAAACUGGAAGACUUGAGUGCAGAAGAGGAGAGUGGAACUCCAUGUGUAGCGGUGAAAUGCGUAGAUAUAUGGAAGAACACCAGUGGCGAAAGCGGCUCUCUGGUCUGUAACUGACGCUGAGGUUCGAAAGUGUGGGUAGCAAACAGGAUUAGAUACCCUGGUAGUCCACGCCCUAAACGAUGUCUACUGGUUGUUGGGGUUUUUUAACCUUGGUAACGAAGCUAACGCGUGAAGUAGACCGCCUGGGGAGUACGGUCGCAAGAUUAAAACUCAAAGGAAUUGACGGGGACCCGCACAAGCGGUGGAUGAUGUGGAUUAAUUCGAUGCAACGCGAAAAACCUUACCUAGCCUUGACAUGCCAGGAAUCCUGAAGAGAUUCGGGAGUGCCCGCAAGGGAAUCUGGACACAGGUGCUGCAUGGCUGUCGUCAGCUCGUGCCGUGAGAUGUUGGGUUAAGUCCCGCAAUGAGCGCAACCCUUGUCACUAGUUGCUACGCAAGAGCACUCUAGUGAGACUGCCGGUGACAAACCGGAGGAAGGUGGGGAUGACGUCAAGUCCUCAUGGCCCUUAUGGCUAGGGCCUCACACGUCAUACAAUGGUCGGAACAGAGGGCAGCGAAGCCGCGAGGUGGAGCAAAUCCCAGAAAACCGAUCGUAGUCCGGAUUGCAGUCUGCAACUCGACUGCAUGAAGUCGGAAUCGCUAGUAAUCGCGGAUCAGCAUGCCGCGGUGAAUACGUUCCCGGGUCUUGUACACACCGCCCGUCACACCAUGGGAGUGGGGUUCACCAGAAGACGUUUGUUUAACCGCAAGGAGGACGGCGUCCACGGUGGGCUUCAUGACUGGGGUGAAGUCGUAACAAGGUA
This 1516-nucleotide ribosomal RNA is filed under the name metagenome. Its description in RNAcentral is "bacterial SSU rRNA". It matches the Rfam family "Bacterial small subunit ribosomal RNA". The record is from RNAcentral.